AAAUUUAAAAAACCAAGUAUAGGAGUUCUCGUUGCAGCUCAGUGGUAACAAACAUAACUGGUAUCCAUGAGGAUGCAGGUUCGAUCCCUGGCCUCACUCAGUGGGUUAAGGAUCUGGUGUUGCUGUGAGCUGUGGUAUAGGUCACAGGCACAGCUCAGGUUCUGAGUUGCUGUGGCUGUGGCACAGGCCAACAACUACAGCUCCAAUUAGACCCCCAGCCUGGGAACUUUCAUAUGCCAUGGGUGCGGCGCUAAAAAGCAAAAACAAAAACAAACAAAAAAAAAAGUAUAUAUGUAUAAAGGAAUCACUUUGGUGGUGCAUAGCAGAAAUUAACACAACAUAGUAAAUUGACGGCACUUCAAUAAUAAUUUAAAAAGGGACCCUGCCUUAAAGUGAUGAUUUACAAAGACAGUUGUCACACAUAUACACAUUCUUCAAGGUCAGUGCCCUCAACCUAAGCUCCACUCUGGGCAGGUGUGGAGGGUGUUAGUAACACACAUAACACAGUAUGUCCUCCCGCUGGAAGUGAGCCCAGCAGGUGGAGAAAAUGCUGAGUGGGCCUGGGCUCUUGGAGGACGAGAGUCAGUCUCCUUCCAGCUGGGGAGGUCAGUUCCCAUAGCUGACGUUCUUCUGUGGUGUCAGAACAGUCACUGAUCUGUUGAAAGGGCUUCCCCAUUUUAGUCAAGGAUGAAAAUGACUAAUUUUAUGGGGUUUUGGGGUGUUCUCUCAACUCUUCAAGAUUGGCACUGAAUCAUGGGCUGAUAGCCUUAAUACAUAUCCAAAGUCUUGGAAAUCAGUGAGAAAAUGUACACUCCAUCAGGUAAAUAAAUACAAUAUAAACAGGCAAUUAAAAUGGCUAAAUAAUAUAUGGGGGAAAUGAUUUGGCCUCACUAACAAUCAAAGAAGUGAAAACAAAAGCAAGAUUUUCUAAAUGCUCAUCAACCUGGCAAAGUUAAAAAAAAUGGACAGGAUUCCUUUUUUUUUUUUUUUUUUAAUGGCCACACUCAGGGUAUAUAGAAGUUCCCAGGCCAGGGGUCAAAUCGGAGCUGCAGCUCCCAGCCUAUACAAUAGCUCAUGGCAACGCCAGAUCCUUAACUCACUGAGCGAGGCCAGGGAUCAAACCUGCAUUCUUAUGAAUACUAGUAGAGUUUGUUACUGCUGAGCUAUGACAGGAACUCCAGAAUAAUUCCAUUUUUAAUUUUUCGAGGAUCCUCUAUACUGUUUUCCAUAGUGGCUCUGCCAAUUUACAGUCCCAUCAACAGUGCACAAGGAUGCUCUUUUCUCCACAUCCUCCCUCAACACUUGUUGCCUUUUUGAUGACAACCAUUUUGACAGGUGUGAGGUGAUGUGCAUGCCACAUUGUGGUUUUGAUUUGCACUUCCCUGAUGAUUAGUGAUGCUGAGCAUCUUUUCAUGUGUCUGCUGGCCAUACAUGUCUUCUUUGGAGAAAUGUCUAUUUAGGUUUUCUGGCUAUUGUUUAAUUGGAUUGUUUUCAUGAUACUGAGUUGUGUGAAUUCUUUAUCUAUUCUGAAUAUUGACCCCUUAUCAAAAAUCAUUUGCGAGUCUCUUCUACCACCCAGUAGGUUAGGCCUUUCAUUUUUUUGAUGGCUUCUUUCUCUGUGCAAAAGUUUUUCAAUUUGGUGUAGUCUCUUUUGUUUAUUUUUGCUUUUAUUGUCCUUGCCUGAAGAGACAGAUCCCCCCCCCAAAAAAAAAUUGCUAAGACCAAUGUCAAAGCCAAUUUUUCAGAACUAUUAAAUAUGCUUCCAUUGUGAGCACACUGAAUACCUUCACUUGGUUUAGAACUCCUAGUCUCUGCAGCUUCUCUUCUCUAAGCUGUGUCUAACAGACAAAUAUAGCAAUCUAAAGUAAGUGAGCCACUGCUAUGUCUUUCCCUAUUUUGCACUUGAACUAUUAAAAAAAAAAAAAAA
This 1927-nucleotide long non-coding RNA is filed under the name Sus scrofa (pig). RNAcentral's name for it is "lncRNA (ENSSSCG00060026197.1)". Lineage: Eukaryota; Metazoa; Chordata; Mammalia; Artiodactyla; Suidae. The record is from RNAcentral.